GAUGAACGCUGGCGGCGUGCUUAACACAUGCAAGUCGAACGGGAAACCUUUUAUUGAAGCUUCGGCAGAUUUAGCUGGUUUCUAGUGGCGGACGGGUGAGUAACGCGUGGGUAACCUGCCUUAUACAGGGGGAUAACAGUCAGAAAUGGCUGCUAAUACCGCAUAAGCGCACAGAGCUGCAUGGCUCAGUGUGAAAAACUCCGGUGGUAUAAGAUGGACCCGCGUUGGAUUAGCUGGUUGGUGGGGUAACGGCCCACCAAGGCGACGAUCCAUAGCCGGCCUGAGAGGUUGAACGGCCACAUUGGGACUGAGACACGGCCCAGACCCCUACGGGAGGCAGCAGUGGGGAAUAUUGCACAAUGGGGGAAACCCUGAUGCAGCGACGCCGCGUGAAGGAAGAAGUAUCUCGGUAUGUAAACUUCUAUCAGCAGGGAAGAUAAUGACGGUACCUGACGAAGAAGCCCCGGCUAACUACGUG
RNAcentral lists this ribosomal RNA (478 nucleotides) under uncultured bacterium. Its description in RNAcentral is "partial 16S ribosomal RNA". It matches the Rfam family "Bacterial small subunit ribosomal RNA", at positions 28 to 507 of the family's 1533-position model. The record is from RNAcentral.